GUCCUAGCCGUAAACGAUGCACAUUAGACGUGAGGGGUAUCGACCCCCUUCGUGUCGACGCUAACGCAUUAAAUGUGCCGCCUGGGGAGUACGGCCGCAAGGUUGAAACUCAAAGGAAUUGACGGGGGCCCCGCACAAGCGGUGGAGCAUGUGGUUUAAUUCGACGCAACGCGAAGAACCUUACCUAGGCUUGAACUGUUAGAAGUAGAACUAACGAAAGUAUGGACGACCUGUCAAAUCAGGAACUAACAGAGGUGCUGCAUGGCUGUCGU
Molecule: ribosomal RNA, 272 nt
Filed under: uncultured bacterium
Lineage: Bacteria
Description: partial 16S ribosomal RNA
Rfam family: Bacterial small subunit ribosomal RNA
Source: RNAcentral